RNAcentral lists this microRNA precursor (60 nucleotides) under Sarcophilus harrisii (Tasmanian devil). RNAcentral describes it as "Sha-Mir-430-o14_pre stem-loop". The record is from RNAcentral. Lineage: Eukaryota; Metazoa; Chordata; Mammalia; Dasyuromorphia; Dasyuridae.
AUCCCAAUGGGGAGCACUUAUUAGCUAUGUAAGAAUCAUAAGUGCUCUCUGUUAGGGUGA